Molecule: long non-coding RNA, 450 nt
Organism: Clupea harengus (Atlantic herring)
Lineage: Eukaryota; Metazoa; Chordata; Actinopteri; Clupeiformes; Clupeidae
Source: Ensembl
AUGAUGCAAGGCAAUGAAAUCGCCCCUUGUGUGAAAUAGCUCCGUGAACACUCUCCUGAAGAGCGCCAUUUCAUGUAUUUCAUUCCUCCUGUCCAGCAGUAAACAAUGCAGUUAUCCCAUUCGAGUUGGACGAUACUUCUUUUCUCCAUUUUGAUUACAACAUCUAUAGGAGCUCCUCUACGAGAUAGAAUAUGGAGGGGUAAACGAGAAAAAGACAACUUUGUUCAGUUGGAGUUACUGUAUGACCCUGAGCCAGUCAAGAAACAUCUCACCUUGGUGGAUGAUUAUGGAGUGAAACCUGCACCCCCUAACAUGCCAUUCUGGAUGCGAUCUAAGAAGGAAGGAGUCUAUCGGCCCGAUCUGGAGGAGUUCUGGUAGCCUUCAGCGACAUGGCCUCUUCAGUUACAGUCAAUGAAGAAUAAACUAAUCAGUUCAUUCAUUUAACUGUGC